GACGAACGCUGGCGGCGUGCUUAACACAUGCAAGUCGAACGGAAAGGCCCUGCUUUUGUGGGGUGCUCGAGUGGCGAACGGGUGAGUAACACGUGAGUAACCUGCCCUUGACUUUGGGAUAACUUCAGGAAACUGGGGCUAAUACCGGAUAGGAGCUCCUGCUGCAUGGUGUGGGUUGGAAAGUUUCGGCGGUUGGGGAUGGACUCGCGGCUUAUCAGCUUGUUGGUGGGGUAGUGGCUUACCAAGGCUUUGACGGGUAGCCGGCCCGAGAGGGUGACCGGCCACAUUGGGACUGAGAUACGGCCCAGACUCCUACGGGAGGCAGCAGUGGGGAAUAUUGCACAAUGGGCGGAAGCCUGAUGCAGCAACACCGCGUGCGGGAUGACGGCCUUCGGGUUGUAAACCGCUUUCGCCUGUGACGAAGCGUGAGUGACGGUAAUGGGUAAAGAAGCACCGGCUAACUACGUG
RNAcentral lists this ribosomal RNA (468 nucleotides) under uncultured bacterium. RNAcentral's name for it is "partial 16S ribosomal RNA". It matches the Rfam family "Bacterial small subunit ribosomal RNA", at positions 28 to 507 of the family's 1533-position model. The record is from RNAcentral.